Molecule: ribosomal RNA, 253 nt
Filed under: uncultured bacterium
Lineage: Bacteria
Description: partial 16S ribosomal RNA
Rfam family: Bacterial small subunit ribosomal RNA
Source: RNAcentral
UACAGAGGUGGCAAGCGUUGUUCGGAUUUACUGGGCGUAAAGGGUUCGUAGGCGGUUCGGAAAGUCAAAUGUGAAAUCCCACAGCUCAACUGUGGAACUGCAUUUGAAACUCCCGGACUAGAGUAUGAGAGGGGUAAAAGGAAUUCCCGGUGUAAGGGUGAAAUCUGCAGAGAUCGGGAGGAACACCAGUCGCGAAGGCGUUUUACUGGCUCAUUACUGACGCUCAGGAACGAAAGCUAGGGUAGCAAACGGG